RNAcentral lists this ribosomal RNA (700 nucleotides) under uncultured bacterium. RNAcentral's name for it is "bacterial SSU rRNA". It matches the Rfam family "Bacterial small subunit ribosomal RNA", at positions 505 to 1205 of the family's 1533-position model. The record is from RNAcentral.
GUGCCAGCCGCCGCGGUAAUACGUAGGUGGCAAGCGUUGUCCGGAAUUACUGGGCGUAAAGGGCGAGUAGGCGGUUCUGGCAGUCAGAUGUGAAAGGCAAGGGCUCAACCCUUGGACAGCAUUUGAAACACCAAAACUUGAGUGCGGUAGAGGAAAGUGGAAUUCCCAGUGUAGCGGUGAAAUGCGUAGAUAUUGGGAGGAACACCAGUGGCGAAGGCGACUUUCUGGGCCGUAACUGACGCUGAGGCGCGAAAGCGUGGGGAGCAAACAGGAUUAGAUACCCUGGUAGUCCACGCCGUAAACGAUGGAUGCUAGGUGUGGGAGGUAUCGACCCCUUCCGUGCCGGAGUAAACGCAAUAAGCAUCCCGCCUGGGGAGUACGACCGCAAGGUUGAAACUCAAAGGAAUUGACGGGGGCCCGCACAAGCAGCGGAGCGUGUGGUUUAAUUCGAAGCAACGCGAAGAACCUUACCAAGGCUUGACAUCCCCCGCAAUCUCGGGAAACCGGGAGUUCCCUUCGGGGACGGGGAGACAGGUGGUGCACGGUUGUCGUCAGCUCGUGUCGUGAGAUGUUGGGUUAAGUCCCGCAACGAGCGCAACCUUGUACUUAGUUGCCAGCACUUAAGUUGGGCACUCUAGGUAGACUGCCGGUGACAAACCGGAGGAAGGUGGGGAUGACGUCAAAUCAUCAUGCCCCUUAU